CACCAACUGGCAAUAACCAAAUCAAAAAUUGAAGAUCAAAGAACAACGAACUCCAAGUAGGAGGCUGAUGUUCUGAUACCGAAGCAAUGAUAGGAAUAUGAAUCUUGGCGUAGUUUGUAUCCCAAAGAGAAUAGAAACGUCCUGUCCAAGGAGCGAUAACACCUGUUGAAGAUAAAGCAAAAAGGACGACUGUUGCUAGACCCACUAAGCAAACCAAGGCAAAACGAAUAAGUAUUUGGAAUUGCUUGGAUGAAACUAGACCUUUAACAUAAUUGUAGAAUGCAAAAAGCUGUAACAGGCCAAACACUCCUAAAGCGGACAUAUGCUCACUAGUCGACACGGGUUGGAAACCAACAAACGGAACUUGCAUAGAAGCCAGCGUUCCAAUAACAUAGUAUGUUGUGUAAGCAAUGUAUAAUUUGCUAGUAUAGCGACCCAUAAGUAGAAGAACAAAUACGUGUAAAGGUAUCAUGUUUGUGAUGAAUACAUAACCACCCCACGCAGUUACCAUAUAGAAGUAGAGCAAUCCUGUGCAGGCACCCCAGAAAGAGGA
Molecule: non-coding RNA, 553 nt
Organism: Schizosaccharomyces pombe (fission yeast)
Lineage: Eukaryota; Fungi; Ascomycota; Schizosaccharomycetes; Schizosaccharomycetales; Schizosaccharomycetaceae
Source: the annotation of a GenBank genome assembly